GACGAACGCUGGCGGCGUGCUUAACACAUGCAAGUCGAACGGUAAGGCCCUUCGGGGUACACGAGUGGCGAACGGGUGAGUAACACGUGGGUGAUCUGCCCUGCACUUCGGGAUAAGCCUGGGAAACUGGGUCUAAUACCGGAUAGGACCACUGCCUGCAAGGGUGGUGGUGGAAAGCUUUUGCGGUGUGGGAUGGGCCCGCGGCCGAUCAGCUUGUUGGUGGGGUGAUGGCCUACCAAGGGGACGACGGGUAGCCGGCCUGGGAGGGGGACCGGCAACACUGGGACUGAGAUACGGCCCAGACUCGUACGGGAGGCAGCAGUGGGGAAUAUUGAACAAUGGGCGCAAGCCUGAUGCAGCGACGCCGCGUGAGGGAUGACGGCCUUCGGGUUGUAAACCUCUUUCAGCACCGACGAAGCGCAAGUGACGGUAGGUGCAGAAGAAGGACCGGCCAACUACGUGCCAGCCGCCGCAGUAA
RNAcentral lists this ribosomal RNA (478 nucleotides) under uncultured bacterium. RNAcentral describes it as "partial 16S ribosomal RNA". It matches the Rfam family "Bacterial small subunit ribosomal RNA", at positions 28 to 523 of the family's 1533-position model. The record is from RNAcentral.